RNAcentral lists this long non-coding RNA (1362 nucleotides) under Olea europaea (common olive). RNAcentral describes it as "long non-coding RNA (OEUR_LNC014451)". Lineage: Eukaryota; Viridiplantae; Streptophyta; Magnoliopsida; Lamiales; Oleaceae. The record is from RNAcentral.
UCUAGCCAACUAAGAUCUUAAUAAAUAAAUAAAUGACAAGAGUAAAAAUGAUUACCCAGGUUAAGUAUUUAAGUGUAGAACUUGUAAAUAUUAUGAUGUUGCUAGAUGAUAGUAUUCUGAUGCUACACUCGACCGGCCUAAAAGAAGAGUGUACUGACUGGUUCACCCGUCGAGCAAUGGAAAUCAUCAACAAUGGACAAGGGACAAACUACAAACUAAAUCAUUUUUCAAGAUAACUGAUCAUACUCAUUAAAGAAUUCGAUGUACAAAUAAGGAAUCUGUUUUGACAUGAAUUGGAUGACCUCUAGCCGUUAGGAGAAGAGUAAGGGUGUUCUUCAAACCUAUUAGCCUCGCGAUACUUCAAAAUUUCCCAGCUUGAAAAUGAUAAACGAGUUUCCAAAACAUGGGGAACAGUGAAGAAUGUAACAAAAAGGCAUCGCAUUAUGACUAAUAGUUCCAGUAAAAGAACGCCGCGCACGCAUAUUUAGCUGACAGUAAAUCAACCUCAAACCAGAUUCCAUCUUUCUCGCUAAUAUCCAUGUUGAACUAAUGCAUCCUGAAUGGGAAAACAAAUUUUUAUCUCGCCCCAAAUGCUGCUAUCUGUGUUUUGUAUACCUCUUCAACUACGUCAGUUAGGACAUACAAUCGUCCGAAUCCAGAAACUGUUAAUCUGUACGAAGUAAAUCCGUUCGUGGCUUAAACGUUCCCAGAACCAAAUACGGUACAAUGACCAUGUAAGCCAUGAAUAGAGUGAACUGCAAAAUGUAGAAGGUGAGUAGAUAAUUAGUUAAGCUUCAUAGACUUCCAUAACUUGUUUAAAUUGAUAAGAAACCAUACAUUUAUAACGUUAAACAUUUAUACACUUGGAUAUUUACAUACAGAAAAGACCGUCAGAGAUGUUCUCAAACGAGUUUCAUAGUAGAAAAUGUAGGGGGCAUGGUUUCUUUACUCUUUAGAAUCACUAUAGAAAUAAGAGAAGGGAUCCUUCAAUUGUAGAGGAAGAUUAAAGUUUCAAUACAUCUCUCUCUCUCUAUAUAUAUAUGGGGAGCGUUCAGCCUACCAAUAUCUUUGACAAAUAAUAUUGACCACUACUAGAAACUAAUCAAACCGUUUAAACAGAUUUCAAUAAAACCUUGUAAACCCUAUACCCAAUUACCUUUUUUUAUUCCUAAAUUUUCUCCACACACUAAUCCCAUCUCCAUAGCAACAAAGGAAACGGCCAUCGAUAGCCUAUCUUAUUAAAUUCAUUUCUCCAACCACCGCUGCUGUUUGAAGUUUUCACAAAAAGAUUUGUCUCUAGAUAUCCACAAACUAGAUCUACCACAGAAAACUUUAUAUUUCUAUUACUUUAUAAAGAUUUAG